This 493-nucleotide ribosomal RNA is filed under the name uncultured bacterium. RNAcentral's name for it is "partial 16S ribosomal RNA". It matches the Rfam family "Bacterial small subunit ribosomal RNA", at positions 29 to 507 of the family's 1533-position model. The record is from RNAcentral.
ACGAACGCUGGCGGCGUGCUUAACACAUGCAAGUCGAACGGUGAAGCGCCUUCCUUUUUGGUGGGUGUGGAUGAGUGGCGAACGGGUGAGUAACACGUGAGUAACCUGCCCCCUUCUUCUGGAUAACCGCAUGAAAGUGUGGCUAAUACGGGAUAUUCUGGGUCUGUCGCAUGAUGGGUCUGGGAAAGAUAUUGUUUCGGUGGGGGAUGGGCUCGCGGCCUAUCAGCUUGUUGGUGGGGUGAUGGCCUACCAAGGCGGUGACGGGUAGCCGGCCUGGGAGGGUGGACGGUCACACUGGGACUGAGACACGGCCCAGACUCCUACGGGAGGCAGCAGUGGGGAAUAUUGCACAAUGGGGGCAAGCCUGAUGCAGCAUGGCCGCGUGAGGGAUGGAGGCCUGCGGGUUGUGAACCUCUUUCGCCAGUGAAGCAGGCCUGCCUCGUUUGUGGGUGGGUUGACGGUAGCUGGAUAAGAAGCGCCGGCUAACUCCGUG